GAUGAACGCUGGCGGCGUGCCUAAUUACAUGCAAGUCGAACGAGGUGCUUUUGUAGCAAUAUGAGAGUAUCCUAGUGGCGAAACGGGUGAGUAACGCGUUGGUGACCUACCCCAAAGUGUGGGAUAACAGUCCGAAAGGAUUGCUAAUACCGCAUGUGGUUAUCGGAUCUAGAAACUGAUAACUAAAGGAGCAAUUCGCUUUGGGGGGACCUGCGUCCCAUCAGCUAGUUGGUGAGGUAAUGGCUCACCAAGGCUACGGCGGGUAGGGGACCUGAGAGGGUGACCCCCCACAAUGGAACUGAAACACGGUCCAUACACCUACGGGUGGCAGCAGUAGGGAAUAUUGCACAAUGGGCGAAAGCCUGAUGCAGCAAACGCCGCGUGUGCGAUGAAGGCUUUUCGGGUCGUAAAGCACUUUUCUGAGGGAUGAGCAAGGACAGUACCUCAGGAAUAAGUCUCGGCUAACUACGUGCCAAGCCGCCGC
RNAcentral lists this ribosomal RNA (484 nucleotides) under uncultured bacterium. Its description in RNAcentral is "bacterial SSU rRNA". It matches the Rfam family "Bacterial small subunit ribosomal RNA", at positions 28 to 518 of the family's 1533-position model. The record is from RNAcentral.